This 300-nucleotide ribosomal RNA is filed under the name uncultured Flavobacteriaceae bacterium. Its description in RNAcentral is "bacterial SSU rRNA". It matches the Rfam family "Bacterial small subunit ribosomal RNA", at positions 114 to 416 of the family's 1533-position model. The record is from RNAcentral. Lineage: Bacteria; Pseudomonadati; Bacteroidota; Flavobacteriia; Flavobacteriales; Flavobacteriaceae.
CGCGUAUACAAUCUGCCUUGUACUGAGGGAUAGCCUUUGGAAACGAAGAUUAACACCUCAUAGUAUAUUGACUUGGCAUCAAGACAAUAUUAAAGGUUACGGUACAAGAUGAGUAUGCGUCCUAUUAGCUAGAUGGUGUGGUAACGGCAUACCAUGGCGACGAUAGGUAGGGGCCCUGAGAGGGGGAUCCCCCACACUGGUACUGAGACACGGACCAGACUCCUACGGGAGGCAGCAGUGAGGAAUAUUGGACAAUGGAGGCAACUCUGAUCCAGCCAUGCCGCGUGCAGGAAGACUGCC